AGGUUGUAGCUCAGUGGCAGAGCACUUGCCUAACACGUGUGAGGCACUGGGUUUGAUCCUCAGCACCACCUA
This 72-nucleotide transfer RNA is filed under the name Marmota monax (woodchuck). RNAcentral describes it as "tRNA.Val". It matches the Rfam family "tRNA". From Rfam's summary of the family: Transfer RNA (tRNA) molecules are approximately 80 nucleotides in length. Their secondary structure includes four short double-helical elements and three loops (D, anti-codon, and T loops). The record is from RNAcentral. Lineage: Eukaryota; Metazoa; Chordata; Mammalia; Rodentia; Sciuridae.